UACGUAGGGGCCUAGCGUUGUCCGGAUUUAUUGGGCGUAAAGAGCUCGUAGGCGGUUCGGUAAGUCAGGUGUGAAAUCUCCACGCUCAACGUGGAGGCGCCACCUGAAACUGCCGUGACUCGAGUCCGGUAGGGGAGUGUGGAAUUCCCGGUGUAGCGGUGAAAUGCGCAGAUAUCAGGAGGAACACCGGUGGCGAAGGCGGAUCUCUGGGCCUGUUCUGACGCUGAGGCGCGAAAGCUAGGGGAGCGAACAGG
RNAcentral lists this ribosomal RNA (254 nucleotides) under uncultured bacterium. RNAcentral describes it as "partial 16S ribosomal RNA". It matches the Rfam family "Bacterial small subunit ribosomal RNA", at positions 524 to 776 of the family's 1533-position model. The record is from RNAcentral.